This 352-nucleotide unclassified non-coding RNA is filed under the name soil metagenome. RNAcentral describes it as "partial contains 5.8S ribosomal RNA, internal transcribed spacer 2, and large subunit ribosomal RNA". The stretch from base 1 to 120 matches the Rfam family "5.8S ribosomal RNA", at positions 35 to 154 of the family's 154-position model. The record is from RNAcentral.
GAUGAAGAACGCAGCAAAAUGCGAUAAGUAAUGUGAAUUGCAGAAUUCAGUGAAUCAUCGAAUCUUUGAACGCACAUUGCGCCCGCCAGUAUUCUGGCGGGCAUGCCUGUUCGAGCGUCAUUUCAACCCUCAGGCCCCCAGUGCCUGGUGUUGGGGAUCGGCCCAGCCUUCCUGUAAGGCCGCCGGCCCCGAAAUCUAGUGGCGGUCUCGCUGUAGUCCUCCUCUGCGUAGUAGCACAACCUCGCAGUUGGAACGCGGCGGUGGCCAUGCCGUUAAACACCCCACUUCUGAAAGUUGACCUCGGAUCAGGUAGGAAUACCCGCUGAACUUAAGCAUAUCAAUAAGCGGAGGA